RNAcentral lists this transfer RNA (72 nucleotides) under Ancylostoma ceylanicum. RNAcentral's name for it is "tRNA-Thr". The record is from RNAcentral. Lineage: Eukaryota; Metazoa; Nematoda; Chromadorea; Rhabditida; Ancylostomatidae.
UGCCCCAUGCUGGAAUCGAACCAGCGACCUUCUGUUUACUAGACAGACGCUCUGCCCCUGAGCCAAUGAGGC